Molecule: long non-coding RNA, 14654 nt
Organism: Ctenopharyngodon idella (grass carp)
Lineage: Eukaryota; Metazoa; Chordata; Actinopteri; Cypriniformes; Xenocyprididae
Exons: 3
Source: RefSeq, a predicted model, not a curated record
AGAGUAUGUAGUAAGUACAAUGCAGUUUAUGUUAUAGUUAAACGUUUUGCUUUAGUGCAGAAUGCCAAAGUACAGUAUAGACAGUAAAAAAUGCAGAAAGAGAGCGAUCACAUGCUUCUGUAGUGGAUAAAACCCAACAGAUGCAGGUGAGACUCGUCAGAUGAAACCUGAAUGAAGGCUUUGAGGUGUGUGUGUGUGUGUGGAGGGAAGCAGUGUCUCUUUUUUAUGAGCUCUUCUUCAGUAUAAUUGCUCCCUGCCUCUUCCUGUGUUCCACGCUGAUGGAGGGGAGGGCUCAACUUCUGACGUUAUACAAAUAGGAAUUCCCUUCGCUGGUCUCUCUCACUGCGCUCUCAUUCACUUUCACCCUGUCUGGCCCCCAGACGAACUCUCUCUCUCUCUCUCUUUCUCUCUCUCUCUCUCUCUCUCUCCUAUAUAAACACUCAUAGCGUCUAUACUGGAGCCGGACACUCCCUCUGAGACACAACUGCUAUAAGGUUCCUCUCACGCUCUGAACGGAGGAGAUACAGAGAGAGAGAGAGAGAGAGCAGUCAGAUCAUCCAGCAUCGAAGAGGUCUGUGGUGUAGUUGUAGGACUGACUUUUUGAGUUUAGCCAGACAAGUGAUCCACUUGAGCGUCCAGAGGAAAGGUCAUCCGUAAAUAGUUUCAUUGAAUGGGCCGUCGGAGCGACUGCGAGACAUCUGUCAGCCAGACAUGAGCUCGGGGCGGCGUGAAGCGGAGGUCAUAAAAACGCUCUCAAAACAAGGAGUGCGAUGAUGAGGCCAUGGAGAAAAGCUCAAACAUUCUUCUCAUUGUUCUCAAGUCUCGGAAGACCGUGCCAGACGCUGCACAGCCAAAACAACUUUCAGAGGAAGGAGCAGGGGUGGGGGGAAAAGUGUGACAAAAUCAGAAAGGCCAAGCCGGGAGUGUUAGACGAGGUGCCCGAACUGGAGCGAAAGCAACCUGAGGUGAUUAUUCAUCUUGUGCUCGUUGAGCGUAAGAAUGAGAAAAAAUAUAGUCAAAUGGCUGAAAGAUGUGUAAUAUUGAAUAAUAUAUGUAUUUAGUAUAAUAUUCUGCAUAGCACAGUAUGAUAAAGUGUGUAGUAGAGUAUACUAUAGUAAAAAAAAGCCAUGUUUUAGUGUGUAUUAUAGUGAAGUGUGUACUGUAGUGUAGUAAAUUGUGUAGCAUUGAAGUGAAGUGUAUAGUGUUACAUUAGUAUAGUUGAGUAUCAUGAUGUUGAUAUUUAUAAUGCCUUUUAGUCACAUUUAGCAGAUUGGAGCUGGGCGAUAAUAUAGUUUACGUUUUUGUGUUGAUACAAGCAAUCAAGGCGUUGAGAUAUGCUAUAUAUGUUAUACAGUAUACACUAAAAAAUGCUGGGUUAAAAAUAACCCGAGUUGGGUUGAAAAUGGAAAAACCCAGCAAUUGGGUUGUUUUAACCCAGCGAAUGGGAUCAAUGUUUAGCCAACCUGCUGGGUAGUUUUAUUUAACCCAACUAUUGUUUAAAAAUUACUGUAUUGCUUGCUUAAAAUGAACCCAAAGUAUGUUGGAAAUUAACAUUUAUUAAUAUGUUUAAUAAAUGAAUGUUUAUUGAUAAGUUUAAUGAAUAUUAAACAUGCUUAUUAAUAAAUGUUCACCAUUUAUUAUUGUUGCUUCUAGUAAUUAUGUCUGAUUUUUAAUUUCCAACCUAUUUUGGGUUCAUUUUAAGCCAGCCAUAUAGUAACUUUUAAACAAUAGUUGGGUUAAAUAAAACUGCCCAGCAUGUUGCGCAAACAUUUAAGCCAACCGCUGGGUUUGUCCAUUUUCAACCCAACUUGGGUUGUUUUUAACCCAGCAUUUUUUAGAGUGUAUGUUUGCGAAUGAAGUUGGGCAUACUUAUAUAUCCAACUUUAUAUAAAGUGCUGGGCUAAUAUAUUAUACACAGUGUAUAAUACAGUAAAGAAAGCCACAAAAGUUAUUCAUCUUCUCAUAAUGUGCACAUUAAACCUAAAAAAAUGAGACAGAGAGACACAGGGAAGGAUCAAAGGUCUGGAAACAGGCCCGUCCCACUUUUUUUUUCGGGGAGCACAGGAGUUCUCAGGACUGGUACAGAGAUUAGGAAACUGUGUGCAAGUGGAACAAGUGUGAUGGAUUCCUGUAUUUGCUGCUGAGUGUUUUCUUCAUGGCCUCUAUGCUGAAGUUAAUGGCUACUGCUGAGGAUUGGGUGUAAUAGUAUCUGGAGUAAAGUUACAGACACAUUAGGGAGAGAACGAUGAGCUUGUGAUUUCAUGCUCUUCUUUAAAAGGGAACGAGCAGCUUUGUGCACAUGCGAGUGGGUUUUUCUCUGCAGUAAAUGCCAAUGCAGAAGUUGUAUUUGAUGUCAUUCACUUCGGUUUUGAGUUAAAAGAAUGAAGUUGCAACAAAUGAGACGCACAUAUUCCCACGGGCAGGGUGGAGUACUGUAUGCUUAGAGCUGUCAUCAGAAGCCAUCUUUCAGGACUUUUCCUGAGUCAUUAAUUACAUUUAAUCAUCUACUGUUCAGUAGUUUAGAUUUUACAAAAAUGUUUUGUUUCACUUAAAAUAAUUUUAAUUUCACUAAAAUGCGAACUUUUAAAGUGUUGAUUAUCUCAUAAUGUGCAACAAGAUUAAAUAUGUUUAAUUUAUAAAAUAAAUAAUUUUAUAGUUCAAAAUGUAUACAGUUGGUUCUCAUUUAAUGUACACAUAUUUAGAUAUUUAUUUAUACAGUAUUAUAUUUGUGUUCUGGUACAAGCUUAAGGCCUAGCAAAAGUGUAUAAUGAGUAUUGCAACGUAAACAUAGUUUAUGAAAGACACUUCCUGUGUCCUCGAAAACCAAAUGGCUUUAAAAACAACAUACUAGAUGUUGUUUUUUUUAUUUUAAAAAAAUCCAGAAGUUUUCUGUGAUGGGUAGGGUUAGUGUAGGGGGAUAGAAUAUACAGUUUGUACAGUAUAAAAACCAUUACUUCUACAAAGAGUCCCCACAAACCACAUAUACAAGUGUGUGUGUGUAUGCUUAUGUAUAAAAUAUACUGUGUGAGCAUGUGUGGAGCAUCCAACCCUAUGUCCAGAUUUUAAGAAGGCCUAGUAUCAGAUUCCCUACCGCGGCUAAAGGAAAAAUCAAAUUUGCUGGCAACUAUACAGAUCUGGUGUGCAUCAGAGCAAAUGGGAUAUUAUGGGUACUUUUUCUCCAGUCCCUAAAAUUAGCUGCAACACUGCAGGAUGAAAGUGUGACUUCUCAUCAUGAGGACAGCCGUAAAAAGUCAUUCCUGCUCUGUUCCUCUGUGAGGUGUAACCGCAUCGACUGCAUCACGCCAGACGCCGUCAUUAGUGAGAGGAAAGACUGAGAUCACUGGCAACUGCGCCUUCAAUUUAGUGGGAAAAGGCUGAAAGGAAAGAUCUGAUGGAAAAUAUUAAUGGACAGAGAUCUUCCCGUUUGCAAGGCGUCACUUCAUCAAGUCUCAAUUGAGCUGGGUGGAUGAUUUGAAGCAUUCGAGAAUCGGGAAAAUACAUCACAGCUUUUCAGAUAGUGCAGAUGCCCUUUAAAAGCAAUAUUCAGUCCUAAUGCAUCGUUUUUGGUUGCAGUCUCGCUUGGAAAGGCACGUUUGUGUGUGUGGAAAAUGCAUAAUGAUGUUUCUAGGGGGAAAAUAUUAUGCUUUAAACUCUUUUGCAGCUUUCUGCAGCUGGUGAGGUCAAAAAUGUCUGAAUGUCAUUACAUUUUAUAUAAAAAAUAAAAAAUAAAAAAAACAAUCGAACCUUUUAAUAGAAGGAUACCACAAUCAAGCUUUUCAAUCAAAAAAAUUCUCAAAAAGGAAGUUUGUUAGGUUUUGAAUGGUAAAACAAUAGAUAAACUUUUGAUAGACUGACAAAAUAAAUAAAUUUUGUGGUUGUGAAUUGUUAAACACAUCCAUUGUUAAUGUGAUGAACUACACCUUGGGUUACUCUAUUGGACACCUGUGUGAACUUCAUACACCACUAAAAAUUGCCGAAACACUAGUUGAUUAAAAGACAUUGUGCAAAACUGAUGAAAAAAAGUGAACUUAGAGGAGAGAAAAGAUCCUACAGCAUUUAAGACGAACACUUGCUUUGAUAUUUUGUUAUUCAAUGAUAAUCUGACAUUUUUAAUUGUGGCAAACUGUCCAAACUCUUUUUUUUUGGGGCCUGUGCGUGUAAGACUGACGGGCCACAUCCUCUGAUCAGCAUCUAAAUGACUGUCUGUCACACUCAACUGCAAAGUCUCGUCUUGCAAAGUUACUGGGGAAAAACCUGAAAAAAAAAAAAAGUGCGCCACAAACAGUCAGCGCUCUAUAAGUACUGGAGGACUUUGUUUAGAGCUGGUGGGUUUACUCACGGCAUUAUCCAGGAUAUUUUAUGUAGAGACAUAAACAUAAUGCUCCAGGUUUACGUAAGCUAGGAGUUCCCCUCCGUCUGGACAUAUUCAAGUCCUUUUUUUCAAGACUGACAUUUGCAUUGACAACUGCGAGAGGCUUUAAGGAACUGGAACGAUUCUGUUGACUGGUUACGAUGCUGUAAAUGUUCCUUCAUAAAUGUUUAGAGGGAAAACAGUUUGAAGAGAAUGCAAAGUGACAUGUUACAACUGGAAAAUAUGUUUCUGCUUUUAAAAAAUCCAAACUGAUGAAUAGCUGUAGGAAAGAUCGCCGUAAUAGACUUCAAUGAGGUGAAAUGAAGAUGUUUCUAGAGAAACAUACCAUAUUCUCAGAUGGAUCUUCACUAGUACAGAUCUCAAUAAUGUCUCAAACAGAGCUCACAUUUGCCAAGAUCUCAAUAUUAACUCAAACAUUUGUCCAGUUUCCAAACAUUGAAAAACAUCUGAGAUGAAGCUGAUACUGAAAUAAAGCUUAACAGAGUCUCUUCUGAGCAAUACAGUUUUUCCUCUGAAAAUAAAGUAAACUCUUAAAACAGCAAGAAUUUCCAACUGUGAAACAAGUGUCUGUUCUUCUGAGGCUUUAUCUGAGCGAAUGAGUGGUCCUGCAAGAUACACUAGAUCUUCACAGGUUCUGCCUGAUUUUUGUCACUCUUAAAAUUUUACUCUAGAUGAGACACAAUAUUUUGAACAGAGCAGCAUACUUAGCUUUUUUAUGGGCACUCGGCGGGGACUGCACGUCUUUCUGACCUCAUUUCAAGCUGUCAUUGAAAAGCUAUUUUUAUAAGUCCACAGGAAGCCCAGUCACCCAGACGCUAGCAGAAGGAGGGGCCAGCCGCAAUGACCACGGACUACAUGACAAAAUAUUAGGAGCCCUUGGAAGAGAUGCACACAUGCACUUAACAUGUUAAAAUUACAAGUUCAGUCAAAACUUUAAAUGUCAUCAUUUACUCACUUUUAAACCUGUUUGACUUUCUUUCUUCCAUGGAACACCAAUGAAUCAUUUUAUACUGUUAAGUUCCAAAAAGAACAAAAAAGUACCAUAAAAGUCCAAAUACUCAUAGUCUACAUUCUAUUCACUGCAGUUUCAGCUGACAUGAACACUAUAGUGGCAGUAAAACACCAACAACUUUUAUUACUUUUCACACAAAUUGUGAUUACAGGGGCAGAUUAUUGAUUAAUAAAGACUUAUUGUCAAGCAGUUCCUUGAUUACAAAAUGCUGUUAUGACUUCAAAACACUUUUACCGUAGUGGAUGAUUUGUAAACUAAUACAUUUUGACGUUUGAAUCACAUAACUAGCUCCAUAUGUACGGCUUUUCUGAUGUAGUAAACUUGCUCGGUAGUUUACCUGAUACAGCAUUUCACUUUCGAUUCACUUCACUCAGGAGUCCCGUGAAACACUGGUCACAACACUCGAUAAACAGCUCAAAAACGUGAAGUAGCAAGCUAAAAUGGCAAUGUUGCAUCAGCAAAUCUGUUUUUUUUUUUUAUCCCGCGUUUACUUUUGUAAACACCUUCGGUUAUAUGGGUUAGUCUAGAUGGUAGAUUAAUUUCAAACGCGAUAGAGCAUUAACUUUUUAGCGCCACUCAUCCUACGUUAAAUAUACGAACUGAACUAACGUACGACAAACAACAUAUUAAAACGUUGCAAGAUUCCCGUUCAUCUGUUUUAAAUAAAACUGAAUAUGCGCUUUUUGCGCCACUCACCGGACAUUUCAACAAACAAUAAAGCGUUGACAGAUUCAUGUUUAUAUGUUUCGGAUAAUUCUGAGCUUGCUUUUAGCGCCACUCACUGGACAUUUCACUUUUAAAGCCAAGAAACAUGCAAGAAGCAAACGUAAUAUCAUUUAGCAGAAAUGUCGCCACAUGCAUGUUUUUGCUUCAGAACUCCUGGACUUAGCGCACAAUUACUUCUCUGGUUCUUUUCUGUCCUUUUAAGAGUUUAGCGUCAUGUUUGUGUUCACUGUACGGAAAAGAACAGCACCGACAUUCUCCUAAACAUGUUCCUCAAAAGAAAAGAAAAAAGAAAGUCCUAUAGGUUUGGAUUGAACAACACAAGGGUGAGUAAAUGAUGACGUUCCAUAGCUUUCAUUUUUUUCGAACUCUCCCCCUUUUUUUUGUCCCGUCUGUUUGCUAUCUGUCUGCUGUGUUGUUUGCUGUUCUCACAGAGCCCUCGUGCUUGAUGUGUUAGGAGGACAGAUAUAGAAGUGUAGGACCAAACCUCAGACAGAAUGACAUAAACCUGGACCCUCCUCUUCUGCCGGCCAGGGGAAUUCCUGGCAGAGUGAUUUUUAAACCUAAUGACUGAAUCACAUUGCCAGGGAUUUCCAAUGGCCCGUGUGAGGGACUCGACUGGGAGACUGCAGACACGCCAGAUAUAUGCAGCGCAAACACACACACACACACACACACCUGAGCACAUGAAAUGCUAAUCCUGAAGGAAUGCGGACCGCCUCGCGCACACACACAAACACACACACGGGUUAGUGGUGACAGAAGUUCAAAUUCACAUGCAUUUCUAUGGGGGUUGUGUGGUGUCAGGACUUAACCCACUUGUGAACACUGCAUUGAACUUCUAUGUUCACAGUGGUUAAGUUCUGCCAUCCUGGAACCGAAAUCAGCAAAAGGACGAGACUUUGAGUGCUGCCAAUGCCUUUGUUAAUAGCCACUAGUGUCAUCAAACUAAAUGUAUGCACAUUGAGUAUUGUGACAUCCCAUUGCAUUUAUAACGUUCCUUAAAGGGUUAGUUCACCCAAAAAUGAAAAUUCUGUAAUUAAUUACUCACCCUCAUGUCGUUCCACACCUGUAAGACCUUCAUUCAUCUUCGGAACACAAAUUAAUAUAUUUUUGAUGAAAUCCGAGGGCUUUUUGGCCUCUGAUAGACUGCAAUGUUAUUACAACUUUCAAGGUCCAGAAAGGUAGUAAAGAUAUCGUUAAAAUAGUCAACGUGACUGCAGUGCUUCAACCUUAAUGUUAUAAAGUGACGAGAAUACUUUGUGUGCAAAAACAAAACAAAAAUAACGACUUUAUUCAACAAUUUCCUCUCUUCCCUGUCAUUCUCCUACGCUGUUUACGUUGUAGACACAGAGCAGCGCUCCUGGGUUCUACGUCAGAACUACUACUUACUACUGUUGGUAUAGUAUACUAUUUACUUGGAGAAGAAAUUGUUGAAUAAAGUCAUUAUUUUUGUUAGAAAGUAUUCUCGACAUUUCAUAACAUUAAGGUCAAACCACUGCAGUCACGUCGACUAUUUUAACGAUGUCUUUAUUACCUUUCUGGGCCUUGAAAGUGGUAAUAACGUUGCAGUCUAUCGGAGAUCAGAAAGCUCUCGGAUUUCAUCAAAAAUAUAUUAAUUUGUGUUUUGAAGAUGAACGAAGGUCUUAUGGGUGUGGAACGACAUGAGGGUGAGUAAUUAAUGACAGAAAUUUCAUUUUUGGUUGAACUAACCUUUAAAGAACUGCAUAACAGAUGCACUUUUAUGAGGGUCAUCACAGAACGAUAUCUAACUGGCCCCUGUGAAUGAUAAGUCAAUCUCACGCUGUUGUGAUGUGGCUGUUUUUAUCUUGUUAGUACAAUCUUCAUCUCAGAUGUUUAGCACAAUAUACUACAAACAAGCCGUAACCUGAAAAUAAAAAUACUUUGGAUAAACAUCUUUUGUUGGUCUUGGAACAAAUUCCUGCCAAACUGGGUGGGUUUUUUUCAUGUGUCGGACCACCUAACAACGGCAACGCAACCAAUCAAAGUAGUAUACAAAUAUUCACAUUAUAUCUCAUAUUUUGAAAGACUCACUUUUACCCACCCAUAUUUUUCCAGAGUGCUUUUUUGUUCAUAUUUCAUUGAAAUUAACUAAAAAAAAUUUAUUUAUUUAAAAAAAUUGUUCUGACCUGUGAAGUAUUUUGACCUUUUUAUUAAUGUAAUAAUCAUUUAUUAAAGACAUAAAUUAUAAAAUAAAUAAAUGUAUUUUAAAAAAAAAAAAAGGUUAAAAUAAAUGAAAAUAAUUCGGAUACAUUUAAUGUUGGUGCUUUUUGACAGUUUUUGUCUAUAACCCCUCUCAUUACAGUGAAAUGAUUGGCUGAAAUGAACAUUGUUCCAGGACCAAUAAAAGAUAUUGACCCAGGAACACUUAGUCUUACUAAAAUGACUUGGUAAUAGGGAUGCAAAGUUUUACAUCUUUUUAGAUGUUUUGUUUUCAGAUGUUGGAUGUAUUUUGUAAGUUUGCAACUGUUAAUCCUGUUAGUGGAGCUGAAAAAUAUGUGCAUUAAAUAAAAGAAAUCUGAAAAUCAUCUCUUCAGUAUGUGAGUUUUCAAAGUGAAAUGGGGCGACUUGUUGCAAGAGGCCAUAUGAUUGGUACCAGAAUUCAAACUGUCUCAAGUAAUAACAAAAGCAUGAUGUGUUCAUGCAAAUUGGAAUAAACAGCAAAGACAAACUUAAUGUCAAAGUUUACCAACAGGGAUGUUUAGGACAGUUUCUAAGUGACCACACAUGUCCGAACUGAAUCUGAACUUCGGAGGCCCAGUUUCAACAAAAACUCUUCAAAUGUGGCAGAGCAGCCAUUUGGAAACUGUUUGUAUCCAAGGCCCAAACGAUGUAUUAAACGCAAAACAAUGGGGGGAAAAUGGUCCAGUGAGUCAUCUUUUACCGUAUUUCCUGCAUCCAGGCAGGUUUAUCUUACGAGAAAAGCCAAAGGAUGCCUGCAGCCCGCAACGCCAGCUGUGAAACAUGGUGGGGGAUCUGUAAUUGGACAGGCAGAAAUCCUUUGGUAAUUGGAUCAUGUAACAGGGACCCAGGUUCACAAACAUCAUCCUAUCAUAAUGUUCCCAUAUAUACGGCUAGAAUUCAAGAGUUAUUUUAGGAACGUCAGAAUCAAGUCAAACUUCCUCCACUGGCUGCUUGAUGCCAAACCAAAACAUCAUUGAACCAUUACAGAAAGUUCUGAGGAACAUAGUUUCUCCUUUCACUCUCAAAGAACUGGAGGUUUUUCCUCAUGAAGGACAAUGUGCUGAAGCUACUGUGAAUGCAAAGUGUGGCGUCUAUGAAGGACUUGAUAGAUAUUUCCAUUAUUUUAUCCACCUCAUGUUGAAGCAGAUCAAUGAGAAUGGUUUCAUACGAUUUCUGUCUAUCUGCUUGUUUUUCUCCGUGGUAAACUAAUAUUGUUGGCAAAAAUGUUUUCGCUUCCCCCCAUAUAUAUAUAUAUAUGUAUGUGUGUGUGUGUGUGUGUGUGUGUUUAUAAAUAUUGUUUAAUUCAUUUUGUUUAAUUAUAUAUAAUAUUAUUUUAUGUGUACAAUUAUUAUAUUAAACAAAUAUACAUCAUGGAAAUAUUUUUGAACAGCAUUUAACUUACAUUCAUUUAAAUAAAUUUUAUUACGUUACUGAAUUAAAGUGCUGAGAAUCUAAUGUGACUCAAAAGUAAAAUGUUUGGAUACAUUAUGAUAAUGAGAACUAUGGAAUAUUAUUUAUGUCUUAAUGCAAAAUAUUAUUUUUAUUUUUAUUUUGGCGUAAUGUGACAUGAGUCCUAAAUACUUGAGGUUAUUGUGACAGUUUCAUUCUCCAUGUCUGUUUCUCAGUUUCGUAUGUUUUGGUGCAUGUUGCUUGUGUGCUGCCGUGUUGUUGUGUGUGUGUUGGUCUCUCUCUCUCUCUCUGUUCUACCUCAGUGUGCUGGUCUCUCUCUCUCUGUCCGCUCUUCAUCAGUGGGCUGGUCUCCUGUGCCUGCUGUGCUGAUAAUCAGUGGAUCGCUGCAGCUGGCUCAGUUCAGCAGGAACAGGGGCCUGGUCUUCUCUCUGUGGCCUUCUGCUCCAAACACACUGAUAACACAGAGAGAGGACUCUUAUCCACAGCACAAGCUACAGGUAUGACAAUGCAAAAUACUUAUCCAUAAAUUCACUCUUUAUAAUGAUAAGAACAUUUAAUAUCCACACUCUGCCCAGGUAUAACAAUAGUUAAAUAAUGUAAACAAUAUACAUGAAUUCAUUUGUUUGAUAUGUACUGUAUUUUCUAUUUUAACACUAUGAAUAAAAUACUAUUAAAAAUCCAUCUUACUAGUGUGUCCACCUUUUUUGCUGAAAAAGAAAUUGUAAUAAAAUUGAUAUAUAUUUUAUAAAAUUAAAAGAAAGAUUAAAACAGAGAUUUAUUAUAUAUAUUUAUAUUUUACAUAAAUAUAAUAUAUACAAAUAUAUAUGUAAUUUAUGUAAAAUAUUUAAAUUAUGAGAAAAAAAACUGGUGUCUUGCAUGGCUUAGCUUUCUUUCUUUUUUGUGAAAUAACUAAGAAAUUGCAAUCAGUUAUAAAUUAUAUAUAUAUAUGUAUGUGUGUGUGUGUGUGUGUGUGUGUGUGUUCAACAUUUAAAGUGUUAGUUCACCCAAAAAUUAAAAUUAAUUCAUUCAUUAAUUACUCACCCUCAUGUCGUUCCACAUCCGUAAGACUUUCGUUCAUCUUCAGAACACAAAUUAAGAUAUUUUAAAAUAAAUCUGAGAGAUUUCUGUCCCUGCAUUGACAGCCUACUCAACUACCACUUUGACGUUUCAAAAAGUUCAUAAAGUGAUUGUAAACCUAAUCCAUAUGAAUAGAGCAUUAGAGACUGAAUUUAGGCUUUUAUUCACAUAUGGUAUAAACAUUGAUCAGUGAACAUAAACAGAAGCUGAACUGCACUUGACACGUAAGAACAAACCUCAUGAUGAAGCUCAAACGUGCUGCAUAACACGAUAAUGAACCUCAUAUGAACUUUUUGAAGCAUAAAAGUGGUAGUUGCGUAGCUGUCUAUGGACAGAAAUCUGAAAGAUUUUAUUAAAUAUAUCUUUAUUUGUGUUCCGAAGAUAAAUGAAAGUCUUACGGGUUUGGAACGAGGGUGAAUAAAUAAUGGUUCCUGAAUAUAUACCAUGUACUAGAAGUUAUCUUGAUAAAUAUAUCAGGUAAAUGGCUUUGAGUAGAAUAAUAAAUGCUCUGACACACAAAGCCAAUGAGACCGUUCUCAGGGACACACCUUGUGAUCCAGCAUAUCCCAAAACUGCUCUAUGGAUGUACAGUAACUGUGGCUCUGUUCCAACAGCAAAUAAGUUGCCUGCGGAGGCGGUAUUUUAAGGCAUCAUAGGUGCACUCCCGAUAUGAAUAUUGUGUCUUGUAAGACAGGGAUCUCAUUUUGGCCCGAAAGGCAGCAUCACAUAUAUCAGGGGUGACCAAACUCGGUCCUGGAGGGCCACUGUCCUGCAGAGUUUAGCUCCAACUUACCACAACACACCUGCCUGGAAGUUUCCUGUAUGACUAAACAAAGCCACCGGAAGGCAGGCCUGCAAACUUUAGCCAAAAAAGCGUAACAGUUAAUGCUAACGCUCCGGCGGUACGCAGGGAAGGAGUUUUGAAUGGCGGGCACUGACGUCACUGCCAUUACACAAUAGGCUGAGAGGUGCCGCACAUCAUUAAGUUAGCCGUUACGCUUUCUCCAAUGGUAAGAGAUACAGACCCUCUUAUCUCCCUAUCAUAUACAAUCUCUGGCCUAAAAACCUUGCUUAGCUGGUUCAGGUGUGUUUAAUUGGGGUUGGAGCUAAACUCUCCAGAACAGUGGCCCUCCAUGAGCAGGAUUGGACAUCCCUGACAUAUAUCCUUCAUGGAAAAGCUAAAUGAGGGCCUUAGAAAAAAACAAAACAAAAAAAACAGACAGCUGUUUGUGAAACUAGUUUUUGGUAGGCUAUUUGCAUUGCAGAGAAUGUCAUGUUUCUUUUCAGUCUAUACUUAGAAAAGAAUGUCGUAAGUGUUAUUUUUCAGCACCUGUCCCUUUUGUUUGUUCAUCAUUUCUCUUCUGCUUCUAUGUCACGUUCAAUUCUCUGUUAAAUUCCCCUAACGGUAAACAGUGAAAUGUGUCAAUGGCUUUUAUUUUUAUUCCAGCUGCGACUGAGGGGCAAACAAUUGGAAAAUACAGCAAGUGACCAUGGAAACGAAAAUACAUACACAUACAAUACAUACAAAUACAGACAUUUCAAUGUUUGAUCGCCAAGCCACAAGAGGAACUUUGGUCUGAGUUGAUCUGAGUGCAGCACAUACAGCAGCCUGCAUUAAACAAUACCUGCCAGCAUGUUCCUCUAAAAUUGUAUUAAUUAAAACUAAUUUUAAAAAUUCUAAUAAAAAAAAACAUACAUCAUGUAUUAAUAUAUAAAUUAUUAUAUAAAUAUAUACAUUUUUGCUGUUUUCAUUUUUUGUAAAAAAAAAAAAAAAAAAAAAACAUGAAAAAUUAUUUACAUUUAAAUAUAAAAUAUACAACAAUUAAAAAAAACAAUAGUAAUAAAAACCAUACAUACAUAAUAUAUUAAUAUAUAAAUGAUUAUAUAAAUAUGGGCAUUUUAGCUGUUUUUAUUUUUUUGCAAAAAACAUGAAAAAUUAUUUAAUAUAGAACAAUUUCAAAAGAACUAAUAUACAGUUGCAAGAAAAAGUAUGUGAACCACUUGCAGAAUCUGUGAAAAUGUUAAUAAUUUUAACAAAAUAAGGGAGAUCAUACAAAAUGCAUGUUAUUUUUUAUUUAGUACUGUCCUGAGUAAGAUAUUUUACAUAAAAGAUGUUUACAUAUAAUCUAUAAGACAAAAAAAAUAGCUGAAUUUAUUAAAAUGAGGGACUCAAACACAACUUUUAAAAAAGGUUCAAACAUUCACUGAUACUCCAGAAAAAAAAACAUGAUGCAUUAAUAGAUGGGGUGUGAAAACAUUUGGAAUUUGAACAUUUGGUAAAUUGUAUUUAAUUUGUCUUCAGGGAAACAUGCAAGUAUUUUCUGUUGCUUCCGAAGGGCAGUACUAAAUGAAAAAAAAAAAAAAUGAUAUUCAAGCGAAAUAAGAAAAAUGUGGACCUCUUCAUCCUGUUCAAAUGUUUUCACCCCCCGACUCUUAAUGCGUCGUGUUUUCUUCUGGAGCAUCAGUGAAUGUUUGAACCUUUUUUAAUAGUUGUGUUUGAGUCCUCAGUUGUCCUCAGUGUGAAAAGACGGAUCUCAAAAUCAUUCAGUCACUGCUGUAAAGGGUUCAAAUAUGCAAAAGAUGGUGGAAAACUGAAGAAUCUGCAGGACCUGGAGGAUUUUUCUGAAGAACAGAGCUCAGUUUAACUGCUCAGAACAAACAAGGGACUCAUGAACAACCAUCACACAACAAAAAAAAACAAAAAAAAACAAUCGUAGAUCAUCCAGGUAACCACACACAGUAUUAAGAAUCAAUGGUUCACAUACUUAUGAACAGGGCCAUUUUAAUAAAUUCAGCAUUUUUUUUGUCUUAUGCAUUAUAUGUAAACAUCUUUUAUGUAAAAUAUCUUACUCAAGACAGUACUAAAUAAAAAAUAACAUGCAUUUUGUAUGAUCUCUCUUAUUUUGUUAAAAUUUUGCACAUUUUCACAGAUUCUGCAAGUGGUUCACAUACUUUUUCUUUCAACUGUAUAUAUAUUAGUUUUUUUUUAAUGAAGUUUUAUAUAAUGCGUUAUAAUUUAUAUGUAUUGUUUAUGAAUACAUUUUUAUAUAAUUCGUUAAAAUGUAUAUAAUAUUGUUAAAAACUGUAAAUGUACAUAUAUUUAUACAUUAAUUCACAUAUUUUAACAGUAUUUAUUUUGUUUUUUUAACUAUAUUUAACAAUAUUUUACCUUUUGCAGGCGCUAAUAAAUAAAAGGGAAAAAAAUAGCUUUCUAUAUGCAUUCUGUUAUGCAUUAUUAAAUAUUCCAUUAGGCCUUGUUUAAUGAUUAAAUAUAGUUGAAUAAGCAAGGCCACACAUUCAUCAGUCCCUUCAUUCAUGAGAGUCUGUAGUCCAGGUGUGGACAGCUCUGAUGUAAAUCAUGUAAAUCUGCUGCUGCUCAUGUGGAGAACAAGAGCACCGGAUGUUUGCUCACACUAAAGCUGUCUCUAUGGCAACGAAGAAACCCGUCCGUCAGCGCGAGCAGAUGGCUGCGUCAGUGUUCGCACUGACAUCAUCGCACUUCCUGUUUCUAAGAGGACAAUCAGGAGAACUUCUCUAGUUAUUAAGUUAACUAAAGUCACCUCGCGGACUCUUCGCCACGCUUUCACGCAUUUCAGCAGCGUCUUUUUGCUCUCAUAUUAGACGAAAUGACACCUUUGCAGAGUUGUGAUGACAAAGUAGUAGGGGGCGGAUCACCAUGGGAACAUAACAGGAGAGGCAUCCAUGCGGAUCUUUCCCCAAGAGACAGCUUCAUCUGGCCGGGCGCCGGAAUCAGAUCCGUCAAACUCCUGCCCAGUGUUGACAAACACCGCAAAAUCUGCUCCGUUCCUCUAAGAGCCAUGAAAAAAAAAAAAUGAUGAGAUAUUUUAUUCUGAA